UACGGAGGGUGCGAGCGUUGUCCGGAAUCACUGGGCGUAAAGGGCGCGUAGGCGGCCUGAUAAGUAGGGGGUGAAAUCCUGCGGCUUAACCGCAGGGCUGCCUUCUAAACUGUCAGGCUCGAGCACAGUAGAGGCAGGUGGAAUUCCCGGUGUAGCGGUGGAAUGCGUAGAUAUGCGGAGGAACACCGAUGGCGAAGGCAAUCCCCUGGGCCUGCACUGACGCUCAUGCACGAAAGCGUGGGGAGCAAACAGG
RNAcentral lists this ribosomal RNA (253 nucleotides) under uncultured bacterium. RNAcentral's name for it is "partial 16S ribosomal RNA". It matches the Rfam family "Bacterial small subunit ribosomal RNA", at positions 524 to 776 of the family's 1533-position model. The record is from RNAcentral.